RNAcentral lists this ribosomal RNA (626 nucleotides) under Salmonella enterica subsp. enterica serovar 4,[5],12:i:-. RNAcentral's name for it is "partial 23S ribosomal RNA". It matches the Rfam family "Bacterial large subunit ribosomal RNA", at positions 2212 to 2833 of the family's 2925-position model. Lineage: Bacteria; Pseudomonadati; Pseudomonadota; Gammaproteobacteria; Enterobacterales; Enterobacteriaceae. The record is from RNAcentral.
GUUUGAUGUUCUAACGUGGACCCGUAAUCCGGGUUGCGGACAGUGUCUGGUGGGUAGUUUGACUGGGGCGGUCUCCUCCUAAAGAGUAACGGAGGAGCACGAAGGUUGGCUAAUCCUGGUCGGACAUCAGGAGGUUAGUGCAAUGGCAUAAGCCAGCUUGACUGCGAGCGUGACGGCGCGAGCAGGUGCGAAAGCAGGUCAUAGUGAUCCGGUGGUUCUGAAUGGAAGGGCCAUCGCUCAACGGAUAAAAGGUACUCCGGGGAUAACAGGCUGAUACCGCCCAAGAGUUCAUAUCGACGGCGGUGUUUGGCACCUCGAUGUCGGCUCAUCACAUCCUGGGGCUGAAGUAGGUCCCAAGGGUAUGGCUGUUCGCCAUUUAAAGUGGUACGCGAGCUGGGUUUAGAACGUCGUGAGACAGUUCGGUCCCUAUCUGCCGUGGGCGCUGGAGAACUGAGGGGGGCUGCUCCUAGUACGAGAGGACCGGAGUGGACGCAUCACUGGUGUUCGGGUUGUCAUGCCAAUGGCACUGCCCGGUAGCUAAAUGCGGAAGAGAUAAGUGCUGAAAGCAUCUAAGCACGAAACUUGCCCCGAGAUGAGUUCUCCCUGAGACUUAGAGUCUCCUGAAG